Molecule: long non-coding RNA, 503 nt
Organism: Prunus persica (peach)
Lineage: Eukaryota; Viridiplantae; Streptophyta; Magnoliopsida; Rosales; Rosaceae
Exons: 2
Source: RefSeq, a predicted model, not a curated record
CUCUCUCUCUCUCUCUAUAUCUCUGACGUAGUCUUAGAGUUUAUAAACGACGGCUAAUCGUUUGUUGAAAAACCCAAGUGCCCAUUUCUGCUUGUUAUGUAUAAUCUUAAUUUUUUGCUUGUUUUGGGACAUGCAGAACAAAGAAACUUGGCUCAACUAUUGGUCUCAGUUAAGGAGUGACGGGUAGAGGUGUUGGUUCUUCGUGUCACAUGGCAGUUCAUAUAUUAAGAUGUUUUAGAGCUCUGCUACGGAAACCUGCCCACAGUUCCUCUCAAUUUGCGGUUCUCAUUUCUGCCGGACUGGCGCGACUGCCUCAAAGAGAAGAAGAUUAAGUUCCACUGCAAUUCACAGUGAAUUUGUUGCAAUCCAUAUACGUUACAAAGAAGCAAAACAUCUGUUCCGAUUGUUUGCAAAUACAUUCAAACAUUUGAUUCUUGUAGAUUGCUACAUAUCCUGUUGUGUUAAUCAAACAUUAGUGAAAAGUUUUACUUUCUUUGUGGCCA